UACGUAGGGUCCGAGCGUUGUCCGGAAUUAUUGGGCGUAAAGGGUGCGUAGGCGGUCUGUUGCGUCGGUAGUGAAAACUUACAGCUUAACUGUGAGCGUGCUUUCGAUACGGGCAGACUUGAGGCAUUCAGGGGAGAACGGAAUUCCUGGUGUAGCGGUGAAAUGCGCAGAUAUCAGGAAGAACACCCGUGGCGAAGGCGGCUCUCUGGGACGGUACUGACGCUGAGACGCGAAAGCGUGGGGAGCGAACAGG
RNAcentral lists this ribosomal RNA (253 nucleotides) under uncultured bacterium. RNAcentral describes it as "partial 16S ribosomal RNA". It matches the Rfam family "Bacterial small subunit ribosomal RNA", at positions 524 to 776 of the family's 1533-position model. The record is from RNAcentral.